CACUAUUGCAUUGUCUGUUGAUUGUCCAAUAGCGAUACAGGUGGCUGGUAUCAUCAUUGCGUUGAAGUUGGCGGUUGGGUGAAAUUUGGCUCCUUAAUUUCCGAAACUUUAGGAGUCUUUCUCUAGCAUCUAAACUUGCAGGUAACUUAUAUCUCGAGUUUACAAAAUGGAUCCAAACAGGCCACCAAUGACAGGCCUUCCCUGGCGUGGGCGCGGUAUAGAAACCGGUGUAGGACGAACCAGAGGUUUUAUCACUCCUUUUGAUAACUCACAAAGUCAAAGACUCGGUAUCACCUCUGCUGGACGGGGGAGAGGGCUGCAGCCUGAUGAUGGAGGGCUUGGUCGAGCAAGAGGGUGGCUCUCUUCUGCAACAGAACCAACAGUAGGAGCAUCAAGAAGCACAAUCCUUCCUAGUAGAGAGCCACUCCAUGCAGAAACACCCACUCAUGCCACGAUGGAGCAAGCCCUUACACAAGAAGACCUGGCUAGAAAAGAGGUUGAUUUCCCUACACAUGAUCAAGGCUCUACACUGGUGUCCAUGAUAAGAGGAAUUGGCUUAGAAGGCUCAAUGGCCUCAUGGGGAAGAGGAACAUUACCCAUAGGAAGAGGAGCAGCUGGUGAAAAGGAAGAGUUAAAGAAGCCAAGUGCUGCAGGUGUGGCUUCCAGUAGACAAGAGAUCAGUGGCCACAUACAAGGAGUCAUUGGCAGGGGGCGCAGCUUUCUUGGCCAAGAAAUCCCCAAAAUGAUGGUGGGGCUCGGAAGAGCAGCAAUGCCCCCUCCGGGAACGGCACGAGGAUUUCCUUUAUUUCCUCCACCAUUACCCCACGAUAUCGGUUCUCGUACCUCUGAACCUGCCGUAUAUGUUCACCCUCAGAUUGCUGACGCAGCGUCCACUGCUGAAGACCUACUAGACCCUAUUGUACCAGAAAAGAAAGCAAUGGAAAUGGAAACGGAAACAGUCCGUACACCGCUCAACAAGGCCGGAUCCAAAGGAAAUCCUGUAAUAAUUGGCUCCAACUACAUUUCCAUUCACUGCAAGAACAAAGCUGUCUAUCAGUACCAUGUGAAAUUUAUACCAAAUAUUGAAUCCAUGUCGAUGCGUUUUGGCAUGAUGAAAGAUCACCAAUCGACCAUCGGAGCUGUCAUGGCAUUUGAUGGCUCAAUACUCUACCUUCCUCUGAAACUCAAGGAUGAGGUGGUUCUCAAGAGUGUCAGACGAACUGACAAUGAGGAAAUCCAAAUAAAAAUUCAGAUGACAAAGAUUUUGCCACCCAACUCUGAUCAAUGCAUUCCUCUGUACAAUGUUGUACUCAGGAGGGUCAUGAAAAUACUUGGACUGAAGCUAGUAGGGAGGAAUCAUUAUGAUCCAGAAAGUGCUGUACUUCUUGGAAAACAUCGCCUGCAGGUGUGGCCAGGCUAUUCAACAAGUAUCAAACAAACAGAUGGAGGCCUGCAUCUGUGUGUGGAUGUGUCUCACAAAGUCUUGCGUAAUGACUCUGUGCUGAAUGUCAUGAACAUUCUAUACCAACAAAGUAAAGAGAAAUUCAGAGAUGAAUGUACCAAAGAACUCGUGGGUAGCAUCAUCAUCACCCGAUACAACAACCGCACCUAUCGCAUUGAUGCCAUCGAGUGGGACAAGUCACCCAAAGACACCUUCACCCUGAUGGAUGGCACAAAAACUACAUUUGUGGACUACUACCGCAAGAACUAUGGGAUUACUAUCAAAGAGCUGGACCAACCUCUUCUCAUGCAUCAUCCAAAGGAGCGGUCUAAACCAGGCGGAAAGCAAGUCAUUACUGGAGAGAUCCUCAUAGUCCCAGAACUUUCCUACAUGACCGGGAUCCCAGAAAACAUGAGGAAAGAUUUCAGAGUGAUGAAGGACCUGACCAUGCACAUCAAUGUAAAUGGUGAGCAGCACACUCAAUCAAUAAAGCAACUUCUGAAAAACAUUAGCACCAACCCUGAGAGUCAGAAGGAAGUCACCCAAUGGGGCUUGGAAUUUGUCUCAGAAAUUCUUCUGGUGAAAGGUAGAACUCUUCCCCUUGAAACAAUCUGUGUUCAGAGUUCAUCAUUUACCAGUGGAGCUGAUGGGUCUUUUUCCAGAGACGUCGUCAGGUUAGCCUCCAUCAGCUCUAUACCGCUGAAAAUGUGGGCCAUCUUCUACCCUCGUCGCUGUGCAGAACAGGCUGAAGAGUUGAUUGUGACCUUCAAAAAGGUGGGUGGACCUCUUGGGGUGCAAGUGGAUCGUCCAAUGUGUGUGGAGCUGAGGGAUGAUCGUACAGAAACCUAUGUCAAGAGCAUCCACUCCCAGCUCAGUAGUGAGCCUAAUUUGCAGCUUGUAGUGUGCAUCCUGGUAGGGAACAGAAAUGAUCUCUACAGUGCCAUCAAGAAGCUUUGCUGUGUUCAAAGUCCCAUACCAUCACAGGCCAUCAAUAUCCGGACAAUUUCCCAACAACAGAAGUUGAGAAGUGUCGCUCAAAAGAUUCUCCUGCAGAUAAACUGCAAAGUAGGAGGAGAACUAUGGACUGUUAAUGUCCCCUUGAAAAACCUAAUGGUGGUGGGAGUUGACGUCCAUCAUGACACCAGCAAGGCUCGCCAAUCUGUCAUGGGAUUUGUUGCAAGCAUCAACAGUGCACUGACUCGCUGGUACUCCAGAGUAACUUUUCAGACACCCAAUGAUGAACUCAUCACUGGCUUCACUGUUUGCUUAUUGGCUGCACUGCACAAGUACCAUGAGGUGAACCACAACCUGCCGGAAAGGAUUGUAGUGUAUCGGGAUGGCGUGUCUGAUGGACAGCUCAAGAUGGUUGAGCAAUUUGAAAUCCCACAGCUAAUCAAAUGCUUUGAGAGAUUCCCCAGCUAUGAACCAAAGCUUGUCUUCAUUGUUGUUCAAAAGCGAAUCAACACUACCCUAUAUUCAUGGGUUGAUAACACCUUUGGCAUACCUUCACCUGGAACUGUUUUGGAUCACACGCUCACUCACAACGAAUGGGUGGACUUCUAUCUGAUGGCGCAUCAUAUUCGUCAGGGUUGUGGCUUGCCUACGCACUACAUUACUCUGUACAACACUGCAAACCUCUUGCCAGACCAUCUGCAAAGGCUGACCUUCAAGAUGUGCCAUUUGUACUGGAACUGGCCGGGCACUAUCCGUGUUCCAGCACCGUGCAAAUACGCACACAGACUGGCUUACCUGUCAGGCCAGUACCUGCAUUCUGAACCAGCCAUCCAGCUGGCUGACAAGCUAUUUUUUCUCUGAAUAAAAGCACAUUUGUGCUUUAGGCUUUAAACAUGAGUACUCUUCUACUCCGUUGAUGGGUUGGUUUCUUUGUUUUUUAGAUUUGAUGGUGGUCUUCUUUGUUUUGUAGAUUUGAUUAUGGUCUUAGUAAAUAGUUUUGUUGUUCUUAUACUGUAUGUUCAAAACAAAUGUCUUACCCUGUAAUAAUAAACCAAAUACUAUUGUGUUCUGUUUAUCUGGUAGUAUAAACUAUUGUUGAGUGUGCUGUAAUUAAAGAAGGUUUUUUAAAAAAAA
This is an RNA transcript of Nerophis ophidion (straightnose pipefish), 3529 nucleotides long. It is a transcript of the gene named piwi-like protein 2, with no coding region annotated. The transcript has 25 exons. The record is from RefSeq and is a predicted model, not a curated record. Lineage: Eukaryota; Metazoa; Chordata; Actinopteri; Syngnathiformes; Syngnathidae.